This 253-nucleotide ribosomal RNA is filed under the name uncultured bacterium. Its description in RNAcentral is "partial 16S ribosomal RNA". It matches the Rfam family "Bacterial small subunit ribosomal RNA", at positions 524 to 776 of the family's 1533-position model. The record is from RNAcentral.
UACGUAGGGGGCUAGCGUUGUCCGGAAUCAUUGGGCGUAAAGAGCGUGUAGGCGGUCCGGUAAGUCCGUUGUGAAAGUCAGGGGCUCAACCCUUGAAUGCCGGCGGAUACUGUCGGGCUAGAGUCCGGAAGAGGCGAGUGGAAUUCCCGGUGUAGCGGUGAAAUGCGCAGAUAUCGGGAGGAACACCUAUGGCGAAGGCAGCUCGCUGGGACGGUACUGACGCUGAGACGCGAAGGCGUGGGGAGCAAACAGG